RNAcentral lists this ribosomal RNA (253 nucleotides) under uncultured prokaryote. RNAcentral's name for it is "partial 16S ribosomal RNA". It matches the Rfam family "Bacterial small subunit ribosomal RNA", at positions 524 to 776 of the family's 1533-position model. The record is from RNAcentral.
GACAGAGGGUGCAAACGUUGUUCGGAAUUACUGGGCGUAAAGCGCGUGUAGGCGGUCGGGCAAGUCGGAUGUGAAAGCCCAGGGCUCAACCCUGGAAGUGCACUCGAUACUGCUCGGCUAGAGUCCCGGAGAGGAUGGUGGAACUCUCGGUGUAGAGGUGAAAUUCGUAGAUAUCGAGAAGAACAUCGGUGGCGAAGGCGGCUCACUGGCCCGGUACUGACGCUGAGGCACGAAAGCGUGGGGAGCAAACAGG